Molecule: long non-coding RNA, 755 nt
Organism: Eriocheir sinensis (Chinese mitten crab)
Lineage: Eukaryota; Metazoa; Arthropoda; Malacostraca; Decapoda; Varunidae
Exons: 2
Source: RefSeq, a predicted model, not a curated record
CCCCCCCCCACCCCUUGACCUUUGACCCCAUGCCCAAGAGAGUAAAUUUUAGGGGUCACCACAGACAGACAGAGACAGAGAGACAGGUUGAUUGCGCCCGUUCUUUGACCAUCUCUGACCUUGCUAGUUGACCCCCCCCUUGACCUUUGACCCCAUGCCCAAAAGUGAAUUUUAGGGGUCACCACAGACAGACAGAGACAGAUAUAGAGACAGAGAGACAGGUUGAUUGCUUCCGUUCUUUGACCAUCUCUGACCUUGCUAGUUGACCCCCCCCUUGACCUUUGACCCCAUGUGACCUGAGAGAGUGAAUUUUAGGGUCACCACAGACAGACAGAGACAGAGAUAGAUAGAGACAGUUAGAUAAGAUAGAAGAUAGACAGAAAUAGGAAUAUAGAUUGACUUAGAUAGACAGAUAGAUAGAUAGAUAGAUAGAUAAAGAUAGAAAGGAAUAGAAGGAAAGAAAUAAUUAAAGAAAGUAAGGAAGAAAUGAAGGAAAGAAAGAAAAAAAAAUAAAUAAAAAGAAAGAGAGAGACAAUUAGAAGCAGAAAUAGACAGAUAGAUAGACAGAAAUAGAACAAUAGAUUAAUAGACAAACAGAAGAAACAAUAAAAGAAAUACAAUGAUAGAGAUAGCCAUAGACAGAACAGCAAUAAAAAUAGGAGAGAGAGAGAGAGAGAGAGAGAGAGAGAGAGAGAGAGAGAGAGAGAGAGAGAGAGAGAGAGAGAGAGAGAGAGAGAGAGAGAGAGAGACUUAGA